CUGGCUCAGGAUGAACGCUGGCGGCGUGCCUAAUACAUGCAAGUCGAGCGAACGGACGAGAAGCUUGCUUCUAUGAUGUUAGCGGCGGACGGGUGAGUAACACGUGGAUAACCUACCUAUAAGACUGGGAUAACUUCGGGAAACCGGAGCUAAUACCGGAUAAUAUUUUGAACCGCAUGGUUCAAAAGUGAAAGACGGUCUUGCUGUCACUUAUAGAUGGAUCCGCGCUGCAUUAGCUAGUUGGUAAGGUAACGGCUUACCAAGGCAACGAUGCAUAGCCGACCUGAGAGGGUGAUCGGCCACACUGGAACUGAGACACGGUCCAGACUCCUACGGGAGGCAGCAGUAGGGAAUCUUCCGCAAUGGGCGAAAGCCUGACGGAGCAACGCCGCGUGAGUGAUGAAGGUCUUCGGAUCGUAAAACUCUGUUAUUAGGGAAGAACAUAUGUGUAAGUAACUGUGCACAUCUUGACGGUACCUAAUCAGAAAGCCACGGCUAACUACGUGCCAGCAGCCGCGGUAAUACGUAGGUGGCAAGCGUUAUCCGGAAUUAUUGGGCGUAAAGCGCGCGUAGGCGGUUUUUUAAGUCUGAUGUGAAAGCCCACGGCUCAACCGUGGAGGGUCAUUGGAAACUGGAAAACUUGAGUGCAGAAGAGGAAAGUGGAAUUCCAUGUGUAGCGGUGAAAUGCGCAGAGAUAUGGAGGAACACCAGUGGCGAAGGCGACUUUCUGGUCUGUAACUGACGCUGAUGUGCGAAAGCGUGGGGAUCAAACAGGAUUAGAUACCCUGGUAGUCCACGCCGUAAACGAUGAGUGCUAAGUGUUAGGGGGUUUCCGCCCCUUAGUGCUGCAGCUAACGCAUUAAGCACUCCGCCUGGGGAGUACGACCGCAAGGUUGAAACUCAAAGGAAUUGACGGGGACCCGCACAAGCGGUGGAGCAUGUGGUUUAAUUCGAAGCAACGCGAAGAACCUUACCAAAUCUUGACAUCCUUUGACAACUCUAGAGAUAGAGCUUUCCCCUUCGGGGGACAAAGUGACAGGUGGUGCAUGGUUGUCGUCAGCUCGUGUCGUGAGAUGUUGGGUUAAGUCCCGCAACGAGCGCAACCCUUAAGCUUAGUUGCCAUCAUUAAGUUGGGCACUCUAAGUUGACUGCCGGUGACAAACCGGAGGAAGAUGGGGAUGACGUCAAAUCAUCAUGCCCCUUAUGAUUUGGGCUACACACGUGCUACAAUGGACAAUACAAAGGGCAGCGAAACCGCGAGGUCAAGCAAAUCCCAUAAAGUUGUUCUCAGUUCGGAUUGUAGUCUGCAACUCGACUACAUGAAGCUGGAAUCGCUAGUAAUCGUAGAUCAGCAUACUACGGUGAAUACGUUCCCGGGUCUUGUACACACCGCCCGUCACACCACGAGAGUUUGUAACACCCGAAGCCGGUGGAGUAACCUUUUAGGAGCUAGCCGUCGAAGGUGGGACAAAUGAUUGGGGUG
RNAcentral lists this ribosomal RNA (1483 nucleotides) under Staphylococcus sp. ChDC B591. Its description in RNAcentral is "partial 16S ribosomal RNA". It matches the Rfam family "Bacterial small subunit ribosomal RNA". The record is from RNAcentral. Lineage: Bacteria; Bacillati; Bacillota; Bacilli; Caryophanales; Staphylococcaceae.